Non-coding RNA from Nematostella vectensis (starlet sea anemone), 64 nucleotides. The record is from Rfam. NCBI's taxonomy places the organism in Eukaryota, Metazoa, Cnidaria, Anthozoa, Actiniaria, Edwardsiidae.
GGCUCAGUGGUAUGAUUCUCGCUUUGGGUGCGAGAGGCCACGGGUUCGAUUCCCGUCUGAGCCC